UGGCAUACCUCUUCAGUCUUGUGUCAAUGCUUGUAUUGCAUUGAAUGCACGGUGGGUUUCUUGUGUUGCAUGCCUAAUUAAUGGUAUCGCUUGAUGAAUUGGUAUUCCUUUUGUCUUGUGUCGCCUAUGCGAUGUGAGAUGAACCUUGAAGCAACCUUUGUGAUCCACUCUUUUGAUGCAUACGCCUUGAUUUUGUGGCCCAUUGAGUGUUGCUUGGUCUCAUGGAUAUGGAACCUGGAGUGGGCAUGGAAUCUUACUGGUUCCUUGUUUGCCCAAGUUUAGCUUUUCUAAAACGAUUGUCUAUCAUGUGUUAACGUGGUAGACAGCUUCGAAUAUGAAUGCUACCUGGUUGAUCCUGCCAGUAGUCAUAUGCUUGUCUCAAAGAUUAAGCCAU
Molecule: unclassified non-coding RNA, 394 nt
Filed under: Anaphalis margaritacea
Lineage: Eukaryota; Viridiplantae; Streptophyta; Magnoliopsida; Asterales; Asteraceae
Description: partial external transcribed spacer
Rfam family: Eukaryotic small subunit ribosomal RNA (bases 343-394)
Source: RNAcentral